RNAcentral lists this ribosomal RNA (1177 nucleotides) under Halobacterium sp. KeS-12. Its description in RNAcentral is "bacterial SSU rRNA". It matches the Rfam family "Archaeal small subunit ribosomal RNA", at positions 156 to 1332 of the family's 1478-position model. Lineage: Archaea; Methanobacteriati; Methanobacteriota; Halobacteria; Halobacteriales; Halobacteriaceae. The record is from RNAcentral.
ACUACUUUCAUGUUGGAACACAGAAAGUCGGAAACGGUCCGCCGCCGGAGGACGUGACUGCGGCCGAUUAGGUAGAUGGUGGGGUAACGGCCCACCAUGCCGAUAAUCGGUACGGGUUGUGAGAGCAAGAACCCGGAGACGGUAUCUGAGACAAGAUACCGGGCCCUACGGGGCGCAGCAGGCGCGAAACCUUUACACUGCACGCCAGUGCGAUAAGGGGACCCCGAGUGCGAGGGCAUACAGUCCUCGCUUUUCGUGACCGUAAGGUGGUCACAGAAUAAGAGCUGGGCAAGACCGGUGCCAGCCGCCGCGGUAAUACCGGCAGCUCGAGUGAUAGCCACUUUUAUUGGGCCUAAAGCGUCCGUAGCCGGCCGAACAGGUCCGUCGGGAAAUCCACUCGCUCAACGAGUGGACGUCCGGCGGAAACCAGUCGGCUUGGGGCCGGGAGACCAGAGAGGUACGUCCGGGGUAGGAGUGAAAUCCUGUAAUCCUGGACGGACCGCCGGUAGCGAAAGCGUCUCUGGAGAACGGACCCGACGGUGAGGGACGAAAGCUUGGGUCUCGAACCGGAUUAGAUACCCGGGUAGUCCAAGCCGUAAACGAUGCUCGCUAGGUGUGGCGUUGGCUACGAGCCAGCGCUGUGCCGUAGGGAAGCCGAGAAGCGAGCCGCCUGGGAAGUACGUCCGCAAGGAUGAAACUUAAAGGAAUUGGCGGGGGAGCACUACAACCGGAGGAGCCUGCGGUUUAAUUGGACUCAACGCCGGACAUCUCACCGGCACCGACAGUGUGCAGUGACAGUCAGUCUGAUGGGCUUACUUGAGCCACUGAGAGGAGGUGCAUGGCCGCCGUCAGCUCGUACCGUGAGGCGUCCUGUUAAGUCAGGCAACGAGCGAGACCCGCGUCCCUAAUUGCCAGCAGCAGCCUUGUGCUGGCUGGGUACAUUAGGGAGACUGCCGUCGCUAAGACGGAGGAAGGAACGGGCAACGGUAGGUCAGUAUGCCCCGAAUGUGCCGGGCGACACGCGGGCUACAAUGGCCGAGACAGUGGGACGCUACCCCGAGAGGGGACGCUAAUCUCCUAACCUCGGUCGUAGUUCGGAUUGCGGGUUGAAACCCACCCGCAUGAAGCUGGAUUCGGUAGUAAUCGCUCUCAGAAGGGCGCGGUGAAUACGUCCCUG